Molecule: long non-coding RNA, 283 nt
Filed under: Marmota monax (woodchuck)
Lineage: Eukaryota; Metazoa; Chordata; Mammalia; Rodentia; Sciuridae
Source: RNAcentral
AAUCCCAGCAACUCGAGGGGUUGAGCCUGGAUGGAGGAUCACGAGUUCAAAACCAGCCUCAGUAAUGGGGAGGCACUUAGCAACUCAGAGUCUCUAAAUAAAAUACAAAAUAGGUCAAGUGCCCCUGAAUUCAAUCCCUGGUAUCCUCCCCCCCCCCAAAAAAAAAACAAACCUGUCUUUAGCCUGUUUGCUUGCUUGCUUGCUUGCUUUUUUUAUCUUUGGUACUGGGGAUUGAACCCACGGGUGUUUAAUCACUGAACAACAACAAACAACAACACAGCCC